RNAcentral lists this ribosomal RNA (403 nucleotides) under uncultured bacterium. RNAcentral describes it as "bacterial SSU rRNA". It matches the Rfam family "Bacterial small subunit ribosomal RNA", at positions 355 to 774 of the family's 1533-position model. The record is from RNAcentral.
UAGGGAAUAUUGCAAAAUGGGCGAAAGCCCGAUGCAGCAACGCUGCGUGGGCGAUGAAGGCCUUCGGGUCGUAAAGCCCUUUUUGAGGGGAUGAGGAAGGACAGCACCCUCAGAAUAAGCCUCGGCUAACUACGUGCCAGCAGCCGCGGUAAAACGUAGGAGGCGAGCGUUAUCCGGAUUUACUGGGCGUAAAGCGCGUGCAGGCGGAUUGGAGAGUUGGAUGUGAAAGCUCCCGGCUUAACUGGGAGAGGUCGUUCAAUACUUCCAGUCUUGAGUGCAGUAGAGGGAAGUGGAAUUCCGGGUGUAGUGGUGAAAUGCGUAGAUAUCCGGAGGAACACCAGUGGCGAAAGCGGCUUCCUGGACUGUAACUGACGCUCAGACGCGAAAGCUAGGGUAGCAAACG